Molecule: ribosomal RNA, 663 nt
Filed under: Streptomyces sp.
Lineage: Bacteria; Bacillati; Actinomycetota; Actinomycetes; Kitasatosporales; Streptomycetaceae
Description: bacterial SSU rRNA
Rfam family: Bacterial small subunit ribosomal RNA
Source: RNAcentral
AACCUCCUUCGGGAGGGGAUUAGUGGCGAACGGGUGAGUAACACGUGGGCAAUCUGCCCUGCACUCUGGGACAAGCCCUGGAAACGGGGUCUAAUACCGGAUACGACCACUGAGGGCAUCCUCGGUGGUGGAAAGCUCCGGCGGUGCAGGAUGAGCCCGCGGCCUAUCAGCUUGUUGGUGGGGUGAUGGCCUACCAAGGCGACGACGGGUAGCCGGCCUGAGAGGGCGACCGGCCACACUGGGACUGAGACACGGCCCAGACUCCUACGGGAGGCAGCAGUGGGGAAUAUUGCACAAUGGGCGAAAGCCUGAUGCAGCGACGCCGCGUGAGGGAUGACGGCCUUCGGGUUGUAAACCUCUUUCAGCAGGGAAGAAGCGAAAGUGACGGUACCUGCAGAAGAAGCGCCGGCUAACUACGUGCCAGCAGCCGCGGUAAUACGUAGGGCGCGAGCGUUGUCCGGAAUUAUUGGGCGUAAAGAGCUCGUAGGCGGCUUGUCACGUCGGUUGUGAAAGCCCGGGGCUUAACCCCGGGUCUGCAGUCGAUACGGGCAGGCUAGAGUUCGGUAGGGGAGAUCGGAAUUCCUGGUGUAGCGGUGAAAUGCGCAGAUAUCAGGAGGAACACCGGUGGCGAAGGCGGAUCUCUGGGCCGAUACUGACGCUGAG